RNAcentral lists this ribosomal RNA (228 nucleotides) under uncultured bacterium. Its description in RNAcentral is "partial 16S ribosomal RNA". It matches the Rfam family "Bacterial small subunit ribosomal RNA", at positions 28 to 250 of the family's 1533-position model. The record is from RNAcentral.
GACGAACGCUGGCGGCGUGCUUAACACAUGCAAGUCGAGCGAGGCCCUCCUUCGGGAGGUGUCCUAGCGGCGAACGGGUGAGUAACACGUGGGCAACCUGCCCCUAGCUCUGGGAGUAACUCCGGGAAACCGGGGGCGUAAUACCGGAUACGACUUCUGAACGCAUGAUCGGAAGGUGGAAAGUUUUUCGGUCGUAGGGAGUGGGCCCGGCCGGCCUCUCAGCUUGUU